GAGCCGUGUGGUGAGCACAAAGCGAACUAUUCUUUCGCCUUUUACUAAAGAAUACCGUGUGCUCGCCACUUUUAAGCGGCAUUCCUCUAUUUUUGGAGAGGUUGCACUCAUAAAGUGCAGC
This is a small nuclear RNA of Mangifera indica (mango), 121 nucleotides long. RefSeq annotates it as U5 spliceosomal RNA. The transcript has a single exon. Lineage: Eukaryota; Viridiplantae; Streptophyta; Magnoliopsida; Sapindales; Anacardiaceae. The record is from RefSeq and is a predicted model, not a curated record.